RNAcentral lists this long non-coding RNA (2813 nucleotides) under Sus scrofa (pig). Its description in RNAcentral is "lncRNA (ENSSSCG00025051170.1)". The record is from RNAcentral. Lineage: Eukaryota; Metazoa; Chordata; Mammalia; Artiodactyla; Suidae.
AUACACUUAGCAAAGAAAAAGAGGGAAAUGGCUAUUGGGUAGAUAGUCUGUACAUCUGCAAUACUAUAUGUACAGUUGAGAUGGAAGAUUUUGUUCAACCCUCAGUGUAAUCGAAAAGCAAUAGCUCUCUUGAAGUUCCCGUUGUGGCUCAGUAAAGAACCGGACAUAAUGUCCAUGAAGAGGCAGGUUUGAUCCCUGGCCUCACUCAGUGUAUUGAGGAUCUGGUGUUGCCGUGACUGUGGCAUAGACCAGCAGCUGUAGGUCCAAUUUGACCCCUAGACCAGGAACUUCCAUAUGCCACAGGUGUGGCCGUAAAAAUAAAGAAAAGUAAUAGCUCUCUGGUUGCCUGUUAUAUGGAAGGUCACUGUCAUCUCCCUCAUGAAUGAUUGCAGCAACUUCCUUGUACUCUCUGCCUAAAAUAUUCCCUGCUACUCUUUCUCCCACAAUGAAGCACAGUGACCUUCUUAAUCUUUCCUUUUUCUUUUCUAAACCACAGUGUCAUUAACCCCAUAAACCGUCUGCUAAUUUUUCAUCAACAUUGAGGGGAUGAAAUCCAGAAUCCUUCCUUAAGUUCACCAUUCUCUGCAGAACUUUAUACUCUAAUGACCCCAAACUGCUUGUGGUUCUCCAAACACUAUGCUAUUUCUUCCUUUGCUGAUGAGGUCCCUUCAGCCUGGCAUGCCCUUGCUUUCCAUUCGCAAACAUACCCAUUUCAACUAGGAAAUGGCUUCUCAUCCUUUAAGCAUCAACUAGGAUAUCAAUCUCUCCUGGAAGGCUUCUCCACAAUUCUUCAUCAUAGUGGUGAUAGGCAAAAGAGUCUCUACUAAUAGAAUUGUAAAAUUGAGCUACAAAAGCAAUAAAGAGCUAUUGAAAAACUAAUAAAAACUUCAAACCUGAGGCAUGUUUAUAUAUAGGGAGUUUUUGAGCGUCAGUUGUUUCUAUCUCAGUGACAGCCUGUACAUACCAUAUUUUUUUUCUCUGACGCUAUGAUGCUUUGGAAGUGAAAGACCUGUUAGGCAAAUAGUAAAAAAAUAGCUUCCCAAACAGCUGAUUAUUCAUAAAAUGUUUCCAUCUAUCUCAGAAUCAUAACAAAGCUAACCGUUGAGAAAUGGAAUUAUUGUUGAAGCCCGAGGAGGUAUUCUUAUUUUCUCCUAUCAAGGCACAUAUUACCCAGCAUCAAAUGUUUCCUUCUCAGCUUCAUUGCUUACCCACUCACGUUUUUCUCUCCAUUAAUGUGUUUUGAAGCUUUAUGUUGUUAAAUGCUUUUUAAAAACUAUUUAUAAAAUGAAGAACGAACACAGGAAAUUUAUAAGCUAUUGGGGGAGAAAAAAGGAGUAUCAGUGUAAUAAUCAUUUAAAUUAUAUUGGUGUGAAUCUACAGCAUUUCUCUUUUAUACUCUGAUGAAGCUAAUGGAAAACAAAACUAGCAAAUUCAAAUAUCUGCAUAAAUUGAACCCUUGAAAAUAACAGUUGUUGCAGUCUACCACUCCAUCCACAGUUUGAGGGGGUAUGUUUCUCUACAAAAGCGUCUGCUAAAGUAUUAUAUGCAAAUAUUCCCCUACAAACAGCAUAUACAUGCGUAAUUAGUAUACUCUCCCUGUUUCAUGGCCCCAACCUUGAGUCAAUAUUAAACGUUAAGAAGGACAUACAGUAUACAUGGAACUUGAUUUAAUUAAACUAAUAGAUUCAGGAAUCAUGCCUUCUAAUUCUGUUAUUGGGAUUUAAGAAUGCUUUGGAGCCAGCUACUUAACUGAACUUUUUGAUUUCCUUACCUGCUAAAGCAUAAAGGUAAGAGAGGAAAAACAAAAAGUCCUAAGAAUCUGCAGUGUAGAUUCAAACACCAAACUCCUACCAUUUUCUUUCUUUCUUUCUUUCUUUUUUUUUUUUUUUGCUUUUAAGGGAAAAACCUGCGGCAUAUGGAAGUUCCCAGGCUAGGGGUCAAAUCGGAGCUAAGGCUGCCCGUUUAUGCCAUGGCCACAGCAACUCAGGAUCCAAGCUUCAUCUGUGACCUACACCACAGCUCACAGCAAUGCUGGAUCCUUAACCCACUGAGCAAGGCCAGGGAUCAAUUGCACAUCCUCAUGGAUCCUAGUUGGGUUCGUUAACCACUGAACCAUGAAGGGAACUCCAGGAAGUUUUUAUAUUGAAAUUGGAUUCUCUGUUGGCAGUAGAGGGUGGUAAAGGUUGUGGUAUCUGGACAGUCUUGGAUAAAUCCUUACCAGCAUUAUAACUCUGGGCAAGUGAUUUAAUCUUCUGAAAUUUGUUCCCUCAGCCUGUCAGUACCUUAAUCUUACAAUGUAGUGGUAUAUAAACUCCUGAAUUUGUGUUCCUGAGUCAGAAACCUUACAGCUUAACUGGGACAGAGCCACCAGAUUCCAUAGAAACCAGUAGGAAAUCCAAACUAGAAAUUUAGAUGAAUUGCUCAAGGCCAAGCAUGGACCAACUCCAGAGUGUGAAGCUUCUGAAGGCUGUAGCCAUAGAGUGGAGGUUCCCAUCUUCCUGCUGAUUUCCUCUAAGAACCCCACCAGGCUCACAUAGAGUUGGAACAUGGGGAAAACCCAGAGUGAGCCCCCCCCUCCACCCCUGUCUCCAUGACCAUAUGGAGGUUCUCAGGCUAGGGGUUGAAUCGGAGCUACGGCUGCUGGCCUACACCACAGCCACAGCAACGCUAGAUCCAAGCUACAUCUACAACCUAUACUGCAGCUCAUGGCAAUGCCAGAUCCUUAACCCACUGAGCAAGGCCAGGGAUCAAACCUGCAACCUCAUGGUUCCUAGUCGGAUUCGUUUCCACGGCGCCACGACAGGAACUCCUGU